GAAAUGCGAUAAGUAAUGUGAAUUGCAGAAUUCCGUGAAUCAUUAAAUCUUUGAACGCAAAUUGCACUUCUUGGUAUUCCGAGGAGUAUACUUGCUUGAGGGUUGGUCUACAAAAAAAUCGUGAAAUUUUUUUUUCGCGGACCUGGGUUUUCCAAAGAAUUUUGGUAACCUUAAAUUUAUCUUAACAAUCUUUAGGUAUUUAAUAUUAGAAAUGGUUUAUCUUACAUAUUGUAAGUUCAUUGAUAAUUAUACCAAUUGUUACAUCGCGUUAUUCGCCUAGUAUUUUUCGAUUAGGUGAAAUAAUUCAACAUUUUUAAUCCUACCUCAAGUCAAGUAAGAAUACCCGCUGAACUUAA
Molecule: unclassified non-coding RNA, 356 nt
Filed under: Acaulospora alpina
Lineage: Eukaryota; Fungi; Glomeromycota; Glomeromycetes; Diversisporales; Acaulosporaceae
Description: sequence contains ITS1
Rfam family: 5.8S ribosomal RNA (bases 1-105)
Source: RNAcentral